Long non-coding RNA from Marmota monax (woodchuck), 8586 nucleotides. RefSeq lists it as uncharacterized. The record is from RefSeq and is a predicted model, not a curated record. Lineage: Eukaryota; Metazoa; Chordata; Mammalia; Rodentia; Sciuridae. The transcript is spliced from 4 exons.
AGGGAGAUAAUCAUUGAGCAGUUGUUAAUGAGUGUUGGGAGGCCUCGGGCCGAGACCAGCCACAGUGAGUCCUUACACAACUUCUGAUCAACUAAACUUUGACCCGGUUCACUGCUGAUGCAAAACAUACCCACCCUUUCUUUGACAGGCAGGUGGGGUCAAGGACAAGGCUGGCCCGGGAAACUCCUGGACCUCAAGUGUUGUUGGCAGCACAUUUUGUGUGCCAACAGUCACCGGUUGACAAAACACUACAGCUGUGAGAUGUCAACCCCACAGCCAAAGCUCAUGAGAAGAAACACCCUGUGGCCAGUGUGCAACUCCUUGGCAAAGAUCUGCACCUCUGAGCUGAUUGGGUGCUGAGGACCUUAUUGAGUGCGUGCUAUAUACCCUUGCCACCCCCAAAUAGGAAGUCCAGGAGGGCCGGGUUUCUUCUUAUUUGCUCAUGUUUGUAUCAACAGCACCUGGCAUAUAGUAGUCACCGAAUGCAUACACAUCAAACCCUAUUCUUGGUGCUUUACAUCAACUCAUUACCACCAGCCAAGGUGCCACUUGGAACAAUCCUAUGUACUGACAAGGACACUGAAGGAGAGAGGUCCAAUAGGCUGGCAGGAGGCAGGAAGGCUGUGAACACAAGCAAGCUGAGCUCCAGCACGUCACUCUGCAUGAGGAAUCCUUACCUCUUCUGGAACCUUCCAUAUAUUCCCCCAAAAAGUGCUGGGCUAGGCAUGGUCACUCUGGCAGCCUCGCAGGCACAUUUCACUUCCCUUGCAAGUCUGAGUCUUGGGCGUGGAGGGGGCUUGGUGGUUUUGCUGGAGUACACUUAAGCAAUGAGACCUUUAUAACAGUUGCAAAGAAUUUGCUUUGCAAGCUGUCAGAACCUCAGCGCAAUUUAAUGCAUCUCAAGGCUGUUUGCUGGGUUUUAAGAGCACUGGGUGAGAAGUCAGGAGGGGGGACCAGCUCCCAGGCCUGACUCCCCCAGGCAGACAGGGGUUCCACGGGAGCCCCCUACCUUAGGUGAGGCAGGGUGAAGACUUGGCUCACCCCCAUGGGGUGUGGUGUGACUCAGGCUUGUAAAGAGCCUCAGCAAAUUCAAGGCCCUGGGAAUGGCCAGCUGGACCUAUAGCCCUAAUGAGCCGAUCCCAAGGGCGUGGCCCACAGCCCAGCAGAAGGUCGACCCAUAUCUCCACUCCCACCAAAAUCAUCAACCUGCAGCUGGGUUUUGCUUCUUCAGGUUUUGGGGGGGCUUUCGGUGCAAACACAGCAUGGGGUGACUUGUUGGCAUGAGGUUACUUCACCUCCAGUUCACUGGCAUUUAUUACUAGAGGUGCCAUCCUUGGCCACAGGGAACGCUGCUGUGUCUACGCCCAAUAGGAAGUCACGCUUGGCUGCACAGGGCCCUUCCUUAGCACCACACCUGGGAUCAGGCGUUCCAAUGCACAGCCACAGGUGGCGCGUGCCUGCGGGUUGGUGCAUGCGGUUCACCCCACGGACUUGGUGCGCUCCCAUUUUGUGGACGGGACUGUAAUGGGCUGGUUCCCUGGAAGACCUCAGAGAUGGAAAAUCAAAACAGAAAAGCAGAGCCUGGAGUUUGGAAUGUUCCACACAAAUCCCAGGUGUUUGUUAUGAGUCUUCCAGGAGGGACACAGCUAGUUCCAUUCAAAUGUAGGUCUGGUGAGUCACCAUGACCUUCAUCCCAUGUGAAUCACCCACCUGGGCAGUGCAGAGGGGUGGCCUCAGUCUCCUGCCACUCUCCCUUGUCAAUGUUAAAAAGCAAAUAUUGGGCUACAAACUUACCUCAAAGUACAGAGUUCUCUGGAAGAAUGAGACACAAAUAGAUGGUAGGGUUUUGAGGACACAUGGGUGAAAGUAUGGGCAAAGGUCCCUUGUCCCCAGUUGAUGGCAUCCUGGGGCAAACACUUCUAAGGGGCUUCAGGCAGCCUCAGCCUCCCACUCUCCCACUGGACCGGAGUCUUGGUCGCAUGUGAACACCAAGAGUCCAAGCUCGUGUAAAAAGCUGAUCCCAGACACAAAACUGCCCUGGGAAAGAGGAGAAAGAAAACCAGUCCCUGGAAAAGGUGGUCUGAAGACUAAAACGGACUCCUUCCCUGCUCCUUCCCGCAGCUGCUGCGUGGCCUGUCGGGGAGCCGCCUCGCACCUCCAUGCCAGCUGCAUCCUCCACGUGGGGCGAUGAGGUCCGAAAAGGUACCCAGCUUUGGGAAUGAAGAGGAUCGAAGUGGUGGGCUUCCUCUGCAUGCCAAAAGGGAACAUAUUCCAUGCUUCUGUCUGAUAGCCGUCCUGCACGUCGCGAUGCUGAGAACGGUAUGAAGCGUCCCUCAAGGACUGGAGAUGGUGCUGGGUGUCUGAUGGAUCCUCAGCCCACGAGGGUCCACCGAAGAGCACCAUGUCCACAGCCAAGGGGACUGUCUCCCAGGUCUCCCGAGCCCCCCAGGCCAGCCUGCUGCUCUCGGCCUUCCUAGCACACGGUAGAGAGGGAGCAGCGGCUGGCAGGGCGCGUCUCCUCCUCACCCACGCAGCGCUGCCACCCGCUCAUGUCCCCCAGGCUGUCACAGGGCACCGGGAGAGGAGGGAGACUCAGAAGAGCCUUCAGGUGUGCUCAAGAGGCACCCAGAGACACGGGCAGGGCCUGCCUCGACUCCAGGGGACUCCGGCAACCAGAGAAGACGGGGCUGCGCCAGCUCAGCCAAGCCCUUCCCUGGACAGGUGAAGGUCCGAGAGCAAUGCUGGCCGCCAUCGUCCCCAGUCCGUCUCUCACCCGCAAGACCUGGACACCCUCCUCCACCCCACCCCUGAUGGGAUGGGCUCUGCCCUCCUGGGGCUGACCACAGAAUGGCCCUCUAUUCAGGAAUCUGGAUUCAAUGGAAAGCAUGGCUCUGGUAAAAGAAAAAAAAAAAAAAAACAGAAAAGGCCACAGUGACUUCCCAGAAGGUGACAAGAAACAAACUGUGACUAUCCCACACCUGGAGCCAAGGCAUUUGCGCAAACCGACCCUGGGUCUCCACGGCUGCCUUGUGCGCCGUGGGCACCGCUGACCACACCGAGGAAGUUUCUGGCACAAGACAACUCUGCUCAGCCCUGUGACGGCCGGCCCCAGAGUCGUCAUCUGGGCGAUUCAGGUCAUCCACCCCAACUGUGUUUGCCGGGGGCAAAUAUUUAGAGGUUGUGUGUUUACGGGGCCAUCGCAGCCUCCCGGCAGGCGGGAGGGGAUACUCACAGAGUGGCUCCAGCUCCUGUUUUGGUGCCGCAUAGAUUCAUACAAGUGAAAGGGUCCUUGACAGGUGGCACUUGUCUUGCUGAACAUGUUGGGUCUCCUUUGGGGACGGUGACAGUGCUUUGGAACUAGACAGAGGGGUGGGCGGGCAGCACUGGGUGCAGCAGUGCCCCACAGUUGAGCACCUUAAGGGUCCAUUUUAUGCCGUUCGGCUUUCACCCCAGGGUGCUGCGCAGAAGUCGCCAUGCCCGCUGGUCCUCUAUUGUGAGGUUGGAGGAACAGGUGGGACAGUGUGGUAGGGACAUACCAAGCCCACCUAGCACCCAGCCAACCCCCGGUGCUGUCCUUUCCAUGUCCCCACCCAGCCCUGAGGUCCAGGAAGGUGGCCUCGGGCUGAGGGCUCACCCAGGGGUCCUCCGAGGCUCCAGCAGGUACCUCCCUCCCUCCCUCCAGGGUUUUGCUCGCAGAGUUUUUCCAGAGUGAAGAAGGACAAAUGAAUCCAGGAGUAAAGCUCCUGCUCAGUGCGCUAAUGAAGUGCGGGUUUUACUGCAAAGAUGGGUCUGGAAGACACAUUUGGGAAGCGCUCAUGUCCAACGUCAGGCCCUCUGGAGGGACCUCUGGAGGGCUGCUUCUCUGUGGUGACCAACCCACGUGACAGCCGCUCCAGGAAGCGGCUCCGUCACCUCUGUGGAGCCUCCGCCUGAUGGAGAGGAUGAUGGCGCUCUGCCUGGGGGACGGGGCACUUGCUGGAGCUCACGUCACUCAUCCCAGGAGCCAUCGCCCCCUCAGAGUGCAGUGUCCCAUGUCACCCCCACCCGAGGUUGACAGCUUAAAUGGAAGCCACCGGGCAAGGUGAUGGCGGGUUCUUCCUCCACCCCCAGGAGGUGCAGGCCCGAGGCCCAAGCCCGGUGCCUAGUGCCCCUCCUCCCUGGGAGCCCUGCUGUGGCCGCUCACUGCACCCUGGGGGUGUCCACAUGUCUCAGUGGCCUCGCUGUUUGCACCCUCCCUGGGUGAGACUCCACCCCAGUCUCUGCGGACCCAGACCCAGGAGGCCGAGGCAGUUCCCGUCCCGGCUCCUCCAGAAACCUGCCCAGGCCCCUGCUGCUCUCUGUGCCGAGGGAGGAGGGAAGCUCGGGGCCCUUUCAUAGCCCUGCCCCUCUGCACUGGGUACACACCUGCCCUGUGUGGGACCCGAAGCCCACAGCGGGUCUCCUUCUGGACCCCAACCCUCUCACCUGCCUGGGAUCCGUCAGCCUCUCUUCUCUCCCUGAAUCUGCUUUCACAACCGGGCUUUGUCUUCCCCUUCAGUUUGCAUGUUGUAGACAAGGUGUACAAAGGCCAUUCUGCCUGAAUUUUUCAACAUUCCCUUUUAUUCUGAGCCUGAGUUUGCAGCUGGCUUUCCAUGUCAAGGAUGCUAGCUGCCUUACAGAGCUCCAUGUGGCCUUCUAAAAUGCAGGCCAUCUCUGUGAGACUCUAGCCUGAUCGACAGUAGAACUGGCAAACAGACAGAUGGCCCCCACUGAUUCGUCCCUGCACCUGCAGUCCCUGACAGCUCCCUGAGGCUCCAAGUUUGCUCAUCUCUAACUGAGACUGCCCUUCAUACUCAAAUCACUCUUGGCUUCAGGUACUACCGAGUAAGUCAGUCCGUUUUCUAAGAGUUUGCUUCAAAGAAAGUGAGAACGAAUUUGUCACAGAGCACAGCUCCAAACGCACUCAGAAAUGACAGCCACAUCAGGCAGAGCAAGGGCAGGAGGGACUAAUUGUAUAGUUACCACAAAGACAAUCCAACACACUUAUUUCACAGGGAGAAAAUGGACCAUGCUGUUACUCCACUGGAAGUAACAAUGAUUGCUCAGGAACUGAACGCCACCUUCCGCCAGCUCCCUGGUAUCGAUGCAAAUCGUCCCGUUUUCCUGUGAUGCCGCCACUCAGAACAGAAACAUCUUUUCUGAUGGGUGCUGGGGAUAAUUCCUAAAACUCAGUGAAGUUAGCUCAGCCUGUGGGCUCUUCUACCAGGGGGCAGACUUCACAGCACCCAGACGCGGGCCACACAGCCCAGGUGGGCCCAGCCCAGCGGCUCCGGGGCUGGGCAUCUAACUCUGCUGUAGAAACCGUAAGUGUUUCCAGGUUGAAGUUUAGAGGGGACGGAGCCCCCUGGGAACGGCUGUUCCGGUAGCUGGUGCUGGAGCUGGGUCUGUGUUCCCGCACGCGGGUCGCACUGUCAACCACAAGUCUGCUGAAGACAGGUGCCACCUGGAAGCCCCUUCCCCAAGGGGAGAGCAUGGCUCAGAGAGGCCCCCACCAGGGCCGGGGGUAGGGGGCAAGAAGCUUUCCCUUGUGCUUGGGUAUUGCAAAAGAAACUUGAGGAGUUGAGAGCUCUGCCCCAGUGAGUGUCCCAAGGGGAGGCUGUCUUCUGGGUAGGUUGGGGCCCCCGACUGGAAAGCGGGAAGUGGGGAUCAGGGCACCUGUGCUUUCUCACAUGUGCUAGAUUCCUUCAUUCCUGGAUCCCCCACCGUUUUCUGCUGAAAGCCGGCCAGGGUUGUGCAAGUUUUCUUUCCCCAGCUUGGCACCAGGCAGCUGUGAGCCAAGAGGCCGCUUACUGGAUCCCUCCGUCCUGUCCCGUGCCGACCCCGCUGGGCCCGCGGGGGAAGGCAGGGUCGUCUGUUUGGGAGCAGCUCUUAGCUCACAGGCUCUCCCAGUAACAGGGUCAAGUGCCCAGUGCUGGGGGCAACGGGGCCUGGCUUCAGACACAGACCUCCCUGCGGAGGCCAUCCGUCUUGCUGAGUGGCUGACCCCACUUGGCCAGAGAGCGCGUCGGAAGCCAGGAUGGGCUCAAUCUGUGGGCUGCAGCGGGGCACAGGAGGGGCAGCGCAGUGCGCAGGCCAUCAGCAUGGGCCCUGGAGGCAGACCCUCCCUCUGCCUUGACCACGCACUCCUGCCACUGGGCGUCCUCAGUCUCCCCACCUGUCAAAUGAGGUGGAUUUGUCCCUGCUUCCAAGGGGAGUCAGCUCUGAGCAUUAGACACCCCAAGGAGAGCACCAGCACGCUCAGCCAGCGCUCCCCAGAGCUACGGAGGAGCAGCACGGUUCCUCUGCUGUUGUGGGCAAACUCCUUCAGGGACUCUACUGUGGGCGGCUCUGGGGCACUAGCUGUGGGGGGAAUAGGAUAGUGAACACAGUCUGCAUUCUCACCCCUGUGAUGGCCUCCUUGCCCCUAACGUAGCUGGUACACAGGAGGCAACCUCCUUACCCCAACCGCACCUGGCACACGGGAGGUACUUAGCAGAUGCCUUCUGCACGCCCAGCGGGGAAGCCCCUUUGCCCACAGAGCUCCCCAGCGAGCCUGCAGGUGGCUGGGCCCCAGGAGAGCUGUCUGGCAGCAGACGGCCCUGUGGGAGCCCCAGAGCCUGGCCUGGGUGCCUUCAACUUUCCCGUCUGGACUUCUCUCAUUUCCCUGAACCAGAUGCAUGUUAUCCCGUGGGGACGAACCGGCUGGUCCUUCACUGUGGUGCUGUGUCCCCAUCAUCCACAGCUCCCAGAACACACACGGCCCCAGACCCUCCGAGGCCUCCCCAGCGGGUCCCCUCUGAGCCACGUGGUUUGCUUUUCUAGAGUCUCUCAGUGCAUUCUCACACUUGUGAGCACCAGGGGCCACAGGAUGCAGGCACCUCCAGCCAAACACACGCGCUGAACAGCCAGAGUCACUUCCAAAGUCCUCCAAGUCCCAGCGGGACCAGCCCCUGUUAGCACAACUCCAGAGCUUACUGGGAAUGUGGGUAAACACUCUGGCAAGACACUCGCCCUGACAGCCGUGAUGAAUAGCUGGACUCGCUCUCCACCUGGCCCAGCUCGCUCCAAAUGCAAGCUCUGGAAAGAUCCUUUUCUCGUUUGCCCUUUGGUAAGUGCUGAGGCAUGAACAAAAGUCCAUUCCCAAGCUGGGUACCUAAUUUUUAUUAAUAAUAUCUCCACUCUAUCAAUCACUGCUAACUAACGGGAACACUUAAAGAAAUUAAUUUAAACCUGGCAAGAGGAAACACAGCAGUCCACUGCUUUCCCUCCUCGGUGAAUUCUGAGACUUUGGCUGCACUGAAAUGUGCGCCGUGCCAUGGGCUGGCCGGCUCAGCUUCCCCCAGUGGAGGCCAGCUUCUCUUUCUGCAACGAGGCACCCUGGACAAGGGGCAGUGUCAGCAGAGUCUCCUAAUUACUUCCCGACACCCCACCUGUUCUCAGAAGUGCUGGAGUGGCCACAGCCCACAGGGGGCCUGGGCACAGGGCUGGCCCACAGGUUGGGGGAGCUGCCCAUUCUUUGCAGGACACACCUGAUGCAGAGGUGGGGCCCCUGCUGUGUGGCUAUUCCUGCAAGUUCAGGCGUCUACAUUUUUUACCCAAAGGUAGAGACACAUGGGCCAGGAAGACACAGGCGAGAUGCAGGAGUUGAACAACCCUGAGAGGAUAUACUCUAUUCUUGCUUUGUCUUGCCCCUGGAUGCUGGUCCCUAUCUAACCUGAAACCUGGUGCUCCAAAGAUGGCUGGCUGUGGGCCCGUCUUCAGGGGCCCAUGUUUAUUUGUUCUCAGCAAAAUACAAUGUCUGGGAUAAAAGUCAAAGACAGCACUGGCGCAUCCCCACACCCAUCCCCACACCGAGACUUCUUCCCAAACCACAAAACAAGGGAGGCUGGACUUCCGAAGAGCUGCCCACGGUGCUGGAGGGGACGGUUCAGGUGCUUUGGGCCAACACAUGUUUUCAGAGUGAUGUAUUUGAAGACAGGCAGCAAGUGCUUCUGCACUUGGAUAUUUCUGCAUACAUAUUGAAUGUGGGAAGCUUAUUUGAGCAGUGUUAAAAAAAACUUUAUCUUUUAAUUUAAUGUUUAAAUUAAUUGAUUUUAUAACUCCUUUUAGAAGCUUCUUACAUUUCGGAGAGUAGUUAUUUUUUAAGUUGUGCUUUGUUUUAUUUUUGAGUGACACAUGAUAACUGUAUACAUUUGAUGCCUUGUUUUCUCCCUUUCAUGUGAAAGUCUCAGGUGUCCUUUAUGUUCAUGUGGUCUCCACAGCCUCCGUUCAGAGAGCGGAGGCAGAGGAAGUCAGUGGGGUUGGAUAAUUGCAUUCAGCAGGUGCCACAUACAGAGCAGCUCCUGUGAAUUAUUAAUGAUAAAUUAUUUGGGGAAAAAACUUCUUGGACUUUCUUUGUCGUACUUUUAACAAUUGAGCACGAUACUCGUCAGACAGCUUCUUGCGAGCUGUCAAAUUAUUUAAAUGACAGAUGAAUGUGCUGGGUAUGUAACGAAAAAAGAGUGCUCUCUGUGCUGGUUUGAUGGGCACCGUUCGGGCUUUUCAAAAUAAAGGUUCUGAGCACUUUAA